Molecule: long non-coding RNA, 1360 nt
Organism: Oncorhynchus tshawytscha (Chinook salmon)
Lineage: Eukaryota; Metazoa; Chordata; Actinopteri; Salmoniformes; Salmonidae
Source: Ensembl
GUAGCAACAUGGACAGCAUCCACCAUUCUCCCCCUCCUUAUUCAGCAACCACGAACAGAGCUGAUGACUCAAUGGUGGCAGCUGCAGCCCAUUGCUAAUCACAUACAGUACCUGGAGGGUGAUAAGGCUCAUGAAAGAGAGCAGGGGAAGCACACAACACAAUACAGCACAGAAAAAGAAAGAGGACCAUAGUGUGGAGCGCUACUGACAGUCCUAUGGCUACAGCUUGUUGUGCUCGAGUCCAUGAUUGAUCACUUCAUAUGCACGCAAGUAUAUACGCAGAUGCACACACACCUCUACUUGAUUCAUUACAUUUCUUUUGCACUUUACUGUCUUUCAAUUUUUCUGUGUUCCACAUCUACCCUCCUAGCAGAGUCUGCAACAGCAAGUUGAAGGCUUUUUCCCCACUUCUCUGUCCUCCCCUGAUCGAGAGUGACAUUUAAAAAAUAUUUUUACAGCUGUAGCUUUACCACUAACUGGGGAAGUACACAGUACAAGUGCUUACCCGCUGCACACAGAGGGUUUAAUUUCAGUUUGUUAUGUUUGUCUACUAUCUUUUUAGGCACUGGGCUACACCACCAUGCAGUUGUCUACACCUUAAACAAUAUGACAGUUUACCGCUGUGUUCUCUUAAAGGCGGGAUAAAUAUGAUUUUGUUAGUUCUCUCCAGUUAAGCAUAAAAUUGCACCUUUUUUUUUUUUUUUUUUUUUUUUUUUUACUGUUUUGUAAAGAACUGUGCAGUGCAAUGACUGGAUAGCUAAGGGACAUGCACUAAAAGUAAAUGGGCAUACAAUGAAGUAUACUUAAAUCAAUGCAAAUGUCAGCAUUUUACAGUGCCAAGUUUACUGUGACCGGACGCUUGACACAUAAUAUUGAAAAAUGCAUUGAUUAUACAAUUCAAUGGAUGCCGGAGAAUUUAACAUGGUCUCUGACUGCUCAGUUUGCCCACCGCAUUGGCUAGUCAGUGCUCAGUGGCCCAUAUACAGGAGUAAACCCACUACCAGGUGAAGGUUUGUAUAAUUCCUAGUAUGGAUACAGUCUGAAAAGGGUUACAGCGUGAGGCUUAAUUUGUAUGCAUAUUUUCUAUCAGCGUUCCUGUCCUCUGAAGGAAAAUUUCGAUUAAUAUCACCAUGGCUCUUUUUCAACACAUGACAGUCAAGGACACUUUCCCCCCUAUAUAUACUGCACACAUGGGAGCGUUGGCCCAAAAUAAAUAAGUUACAGUAUCAAUGUAUGCCUCAGAUAAGAGAUCAAAUUAAAUGAACCCUUCGAAGUAAUCCCUCAGUGCCUGGAAAAAUAAGCCUUAAAAAAAGUUACACACAGAGGGUUUCAUUUUGUGGGACAGUUUUUAGACUGUAAC